RNAcentral lists this transfer RNA (72 nucleotides) under Ictidomys tridecemlineatus (thirteen-lined ground squirrel). RNAcentral's name for it is "Spermophilus tridecemlineatus (thirteen-lined ground squirrel) tRNA". It matches the Rfam family "tRNA". Rfam says of the family: Transfer RNA (tRNA) molecules are approximately 80 nucleotides in length. Their secondary structure includes four short double-helical elements and three loops (D, anti-codon, and T loops). The record is from Rfam by way of RNAcentral. Lineage: Eukaryota; Metazoa; Chordata; Mammalia; Rodentia; Sciuridae.
UGGGGUUUGGCUCAGUGGUAGAGUGCUUGCCUAGCACGUGUGAGGCACUGGGUUCGAUUCUCAGCACCACAU